CCAGACUCCUACGGGAGGCAGCAGUGGGGAAUAUUGCACAAUGGGGGGAACCCUGAUGCAGCGACGCCGCGUGGGUGAGGAAGUACUUCGGUAUGUAAAGCCCUAUCAGCAGGGAAGAAAAUGACGGUACCUGACUAAGAAGCCCCGGCUAACUCCGUGCCAGCAGCCGCGGUAAUACGGAGGAUGCGAGCGUUAUCCGGAUUUAUUGGGUUUAAAGGGUGCGCAGGCGGUCUGUUAAGUCAGCGGUCAAAGCCCGGGGCUCAACCCCGCCCAGCCGUCGGAACUGCCGGGCUAGAGUGGGCGAGAAGUGCGCGGAAUGCGUGGUGUAGCGGUGAAAUGCAUAGAUAUCACGCAGAACUCCGAUUGCGAAGGCAGCGCACCGGCGCCCUACUGACGCUCAGGCACGAAAGCGUGGGUAUCGAACAGGAUUAGAUACCCGCGUAA
RNAcentral lists this ribosomal RNA (444 nucleotides) under uncultured bacterium. Its description in RNAcentral is "bacterial SSU rRNA". It matches the Rfam family "Bacterial small subunit ribosomal RNA", at positions 331 to 793 of the family's 1533-position model. The record is from RNAcentral.